RNAcentral lists this ribosomal RNA (301 nucleotides) under uncultured bacterium. RNAcentral describes it as "partial 16S ribosomal RNA". It matches the Rfam family "Bacterial small subunit ribosomal RNA", at positions 509 to 807 of the family's 1533-position model. The record is from RNAcentral.
CAGUAGCCGCGGGAAUACGGAGGGUGCAAGCGUUAAUCGGAAUUACUGGGCGUAAAGCGCACGCAGGCGGUCUGACAAGUCAGAUGUGAAAUCCCCGGGCUUAACCUGGGAACUGCAUUUGAAACUGUCAGGCUGGAGUCUUGUAGAGGGGGGUGGAAUUCCAGGUGUAGCGGUGAAAUGCGUAGAGAUCUGGAGGAAUACCGGUGGCGAAGGCGGCCCCCUGGACAAAGACUGACGCUCAGGUGCGAAAGCGUGGGGAGCAAACAGGAUUAGAGACCCGGGUAGUCCCUGUCUCUUAUAC